AAUAAACGUCAGCGGGCAUGCUUUAAUUAAGCCUUCUUCCCAGUGAGAGCCUCGAAGAUGUAAUCACAGAGAGAGAGAGAGAGAGAGAGAGCGAGAGAGAGACAGAGAGAGGAGCAUCGGCUCACCAAGAAGGCCUGUCCUGGUCCCAGGGGCCACAGCGGGAUGGCCCCUACCAACCUGGCCCAGCCGACUUGUUGGAGGAGAAACCUGGACACAGACAUGCACAGAAGACCAUGUGACCAUGAAGGCAGAGAUCAG
Molecule: long non-coding RNA, 258 nt
Filed under: Homo sapiens (human)
Lineage: Eukaryota; Metazoa; Chordata; Mammalia; Primates; Hominidae
Description: HSALNT0256186
Source: RNAcentral